AAGCGAGCCUGCGAAGGCAAGCGGAUCUCUUAAAGCUGUUCUCAGUUCGGACUGCAGUCUGCAACUCGACUGCACGAAGCUGGAAUCGCUAGUAAUCGCGGAUCAGCACGCCGCGGUGAAUACGUUCCCGGGCCUUGUACACACCGCCCGUCACACCAUGGGAGUCGGAAAUGCCCGAAGCCGGUGACCAAACCAAUAAGGAAGGAGCCGUCGAAGGCAGGUCUGAUAACUGGGGUGAAGUCGUAACAAGGUACC
Molecule: ribosomal RNA, 255 nt
Filed under: uncultured bacterium
Lineage: Bacteria
Description: partial 16S ribosomal RNA
Rfam family: Bacterial small subunit ribosomal RNA
Source: RNAcentral